CUAUAUAUAUUGGUGCAGGUUGAUAUCGUGUGUCAAGUAAGGUUAGGAAAAAAAGACCUAAACCGCGGCAAAUACAAACAAAUAGUCAGCUGAUAAGACAUGUUCUAUUGUUUCCUAAUCCUGUAAUUGUGUAUGUAUAUAAAUAUAUAGUAUUAAAUAAUAUUAUAAAUAUCUUUUUUAAAUAUAGAAAGUUUAUGUUACUAUGAUAAGAAUAUGAGUCUACAUAAAUAAAGUAAAUACAUAUAAAUAAAAAAAGGAACACUAUUACAUACACAGUUUUUAUUAAUUAUUCUUAUUUAUCCAAGCAAAACUUUCUAAUGCAAAUCACAUGUUUCUACUUGUAAGUAUAAAUAUGUGCACUUAUCUUAUACUUUAUUUUUGUCUGAAGAUUUUGUAUCUUUUGUAUCUUUUGUAAUUCCCUCGUCUAUCCUAACCUUACUUUCUGAUUCUGGCAUGAUGAAUUCAGACUUGCAAAUUUUAUAAAUUGUAAAAUUUUAGCAUUUAUUGAUUAAUAAAAUUAUUUUUGAUUUUAAUAUGGAAGAGAACAAUCAUAAUAAACAAAUAAAAAAAAGAAAAAUUGAAACAGAUUUAUUUAGUGAUGAAAUAACAAAGAAUAAACUUGUUUAUUUGGUUGUAAAAUGUGCAAAUUUUGCAGCAAUAAAACACAGUCGUCAACGACGACUUAAUAAAGAGAAAACCCCAUAUAUAAAUCAUCCAAUAGGUGUAGCAAAUAUUUUGGUGGAAGAAGGAGAGGUUUGUGAUCCAGCAGUAAUAGUAGCUGCUUUAUUACACGAUACAGUGGAAGACACGGAUACAACAUUUGAAGAAAUAGAAGAGCAUUUUGGUGCAAAGAUACGAAAGAUAGUUGAAGAGGUAACUGAUGACAAAUCAUUACCAAAACUAGAGCGAAAAAGAUUACAAAUCGAGCAUGCACCAAAUAGCAGUCAUGAAGCUAAGCUAGUUAAAUUAGCAGAUAAACUAUAUAACUUGAGGGAUUUAAAAAAAGAAAUACCAGAGGGGUGGUCAAUUGAAAGAGUAAAUGAAUAUUUUAAGUGGGCAAAGUUGGUUGUUGAUGGAUUAAAAGGUACAAAUAUAAAAUUAGAAAAGUUGUUAGAUGAUAUGUUUAUAAAACAUUCCGAGACCAAAGGAAAAUUGUAGUGAUGAUGUUACAAAAAUAGAUGCCAAAAAUAAUGAUAAAUUAGGCAACAGAUAUAUGUACAAAAGAUUUUAUAUAUAAAAAGUAACAGCAUUGUAGAGAGAUGCACGAAUACCACCAACUGAUCGAUGUCCCUUAAGUUGUAGCAUAUUAAGAGCAGCAGCACCAGCUACAAAGGCAUUUUCAAGUGCUUCAUCAUUCUUUAUUCUGAAUGGAAUAUUCAUUCUACUACGGCAUUUUUUGUCGAUUGGACAUAUAUAAAAACCAUUAGAUUGCUCUAUCACAUCAUAAAUAAGUUUGCUCUUCUUGUGGGCAAGUUCAGCCAUGCCUUCUACUCGUCCAUUUUUCUUUAUCCAUUCAAAAACUCUUCCAACAAAGUAAAUUCUUAAAAAAAGAAAAUGAAAAGUUAGCAAAUUCAAUAAAUAAAAUUAUCAAAAA
Molecule: RNA transcript, 1594 nt
Organism: Nasonia vitripennis (jewel wasp)
Lineage: Eukaryota; Metazoa; Arthropoda; Insecta; Hymenoptera; Pteromalidae
Gene: Mesh1
Gene name: guanosine-3',5'-bis(diphosphate) 3'-pyrophosphohydrolase MESH1
Exons: 4
Source: RefSeq, a predicted model, not a curated record